UUGGACGACAUACUAAACUAUGACGUUUUUGUCCAUUUUUGGAUGACAUGCUAAACUAUGACGUUUUUGGUCCAUUUUGGAUGACAUGCUAAACUAUGACGUUUUCGAUCCAUUUUUGGAUGACAUACUAAACUAUGACAUUUUUGGUCCAUUUUUGGACGACAUACUAAACUAUGACGUUUUUGUCCAUUUUUGGAUGACAUACUAAACUAUGACAUUUUUGGUCCAUUUUUGGACGACAUACUAAACUAUGAAAUUAAAGAUCCAUUUUUGGAUGACAUACUAAACUAUGACGUUUUUGUCAUAUUUUGGACGACAUACUAAACUAUGACGUUUUUGGUCCAUUUUUGGACGACAUACUAAACUAUGAUGUUUUUGUCCAUUUUUAGACGACAUACUAAACUAUGACGUUUUUGUCCAUUUUUGGACGACAUACUAAAAUAUGAUGUUUUUGUCAAAUUUUGGAUGACAUACUAAACUAUGACGUUUAAGAUCCAUUUUUAGACGACAUACUAAACUAUGACGUAUUUGAUCCAUUUUUGGAUGACAUGCUAUGACAUUUUUGGACGACAUACUAAACUAUGACAUUUAAGAUCCAUUUUUGGACGACAUACUAAACUAUGACGUAUUUGUCAUAUUUUGGACGACAUACUAAACUAUGACGUAUUUGUCAUAUUUUGGACGACAUACUAAACUAUGACGUAUUUGAUCCAUUUUUGGAUGACAUGCUAUGACAUUUUUGGACGACAUACUAAACUAUGAAAUUAAAGAUCCAUUUUUGGAUGACAUACUAAACUAUGACGUUUUUGUCAUAUUUUGGACGACAUACUAAACUAUGACGUUUUUGUCAUAUUUUGGACGACAUACUAAACGAUGAUUUUUUUGGUCCAUUUUUGGACGACAUACUAAACUAUGAAAUUAAAGAUCCAUUUUUGGAUGACAUACUAAACUAUGACGUUUUUGUCAUAUUUUGGACGACAUACUAAACUUUGAUGUUUUUGUCCAUUUUUAGACGACAUACUAAACUAUGACGUUUUUGAUCCAUUUUUGGACGACAUACUAAACUAUGACGUAUUUGUCAUAUUUUGGACGACAUACUAAACUAUGACGUAUUUGUCAUAUUUUGGACGACAUACUAAACUAUGACGUAUUUGAUCCAUUUUUGGAUGACAUGCUAUGACAUUUUUGGACGACAUACUAAACUAUGAAAUUAAAGAUCCAUUUUUGGAUGACAUACUAAACUAUGACGUUUUUGUCAUAUUUUGGACGACAUACUAAACUAUGACGUUUUUGUCAUAUUUUGGACGACAUACUAAACUAUGACGUUUUUGUCAUAUUUUGGACGACAUACUAAACGAUGAUUUUUUUGGUCCAUUUUUGGACGACAUACUAAACUAUGAAAUUAAAGAUCCAUUUUUGGAUGACAUACUAAACUAUGACGUUUUUGUCAUAUUUUGGACGACAUACUAAACUUUGAUGUUUUUGUCCAUUUUUAGACGACAUACUAAACUAUGACGUUUUUGGUCCAUUUUUGGACGACAUACUAAACUAUGACGUUUUUGGUCCAUUUUUGGACGACAUACUAAACUAUGACGUUUUUGUCAUAUUUUGGACGACAUACUAAACUAUGACGUUUUUGUCAUAUUUUGGACGACAUACUAAACUAUGACGUUUAAGAUCCAUUUUUAGACGACAUACUAAACUAUGAUGUUUUUGUCAUAUUUUGGACGACAUACUAAACUAUGACGUUUUUGUCCAUUUGUAGACGACAUACUAAACUAUGACGUUUUUGAUCCAUUUUUAGACGACAUACUAAACUAUGAUGUUUUUGUCAUAUUUUGGACGACAUACUAAACUAUGACGUUUAAGAUCCAUUUUUGGACGACAUACUAAACUAUGAC
Acanthochromis polyacanthus (spiny chromis) is the source of this 1901-nucleotide long non-coding RNA. RefSeq lists it as uncharacterized. The record is from RefSeq and is a predicted model, not a curated record. NCBI's taxonomy places the organism in Eukaryota, Metazoa, Chordata, Actinopteri, Pomacentridae. The transcript is spliced from 2 exons.